UUAAGCGACUAAGCGUACACGGUGGAUGCCUAGGCAGUCAGAGGCGAUGAAGGGCGUGCUAAUCUGCGAAAAGCGUCGGUAAGCUGAUAUGAAGCGUUACAACCGACGAUACCCGAAUGGGGAAACCCAGUGCAAUUCGUUGCACUAUUGCAUGGUGAAUACAUAGCCAUGCAAGGCGAACCGGGGGAACUGAAACAUCUAAGUACCCCGAGGAAAAGAAAUCAACCGAGAUUCCCCCAGUAGCGGCGAGCGAACGGGGAGGGGCCCAGAGUCUGAAUCAGUUGGUGUGUUAGUGGAAGCGUCUGGAAAGUCGCACGGUACAGGGUGAUAGUCCCGUACACAAAAAUACACUUGCUGUGAACUCGAUGAGUAGGGCGGGACACGUGACAUCCUGUCUGAAUAUGGGGGGACCAUCCUCCAAGGCUAAAUACUCCUGACUGACCGAUAGUGAACCAGUACCGUGAGGGAAAGGCGAAAAGAACCCCGGCGAGGGGAGUGAAAUAGAACCUGAAACCGUGUACGUACAAGCAGUGGGAGCACCUUCGUGGUGUGACUGCGUACCUUUUGUAUAAUGGGUCAGCGACUUAUAUUUUGUAGCAAGGUUAACCGAAUAGGGGAGCCGUAGGGAAACCGAGUCUUAACUGGGCGUCUAGUUGCAAGGUAUAGACCCGAAACCCGGUGAUCUAGCCAUGGGCAGGUUGAAGGUUGGGUAACACUAACUGGAGGACCGAACCGACUAAUGUUGAAAAAUUAGCGGAUGACUUGUGGCUGGGGGUGAAAGGCCAAUCAAACCGGGAGAUAGCUGGUUCUCCCCGAAAGCUAUUUAGGUAGCGCCUCGUGAACUCAUCUUCGGGGGUAGAGCACUGUUUCGGCUAGGGGGUCAUCCCGACUUACCAAACCGAUGCAAACUCCGAAUACCGAAGAAUGUUAUCACGGGAGACACACGGCGGGUGCUAACGUCCGUCGUGAAGAGGGAAACAACCCAGACCGCCAGCUAAGGUCCCAAAGUCAUGGUUAAGUGGGAAACGAUGUGGGAAGGCACAGACAGCCAGGAUGUUGGCUUAGAAGCAGCCAUCAUUUAAAGAAAGCGUAAUAGCUCACUGGUCGAGUCGGCCUGCGCGGAAGAUGUAACGGGGCUAAACCAUGCACCGAAGCUGCGGCAGCGACGCUUAGGCGUUGUUGGGUAGGGGAGCGUUCUGUAAGCCGUUGAAGGUGGACUGUGAGGUCUGCUGGAGGUAUCAGAAGUGCGAAUGCUGACAUAAGUAACGAUAAUGCGGGUGAAAAGCCCGCACGCCGGAAGACCAAGGGUUCCUGUCCAACGUUAAUCGGGGCAGGGUGAGUCGACCCCUAAGGCGAGGCUGAAAAGCGUAGUCGAUGGGAAACAGGUUAAUAUUCCUGUACUCGGUGUUACUGCGAAGGGGGGACGGAGAAGGCUAGGCUAGCCGGGCGACGGUUGUCCCGGUUUAAGCAUGUAGGCGGAGUGACCUGGUAAAUCCGGUUGCUUAUCAACGCUGAGGUGUGAUGACGAUGCACUACGGUGCAGAAGUAGUUGAUGCCAAGCUUCCAGGAAAAGCCUCUAAGCAUCAGGUAACAGUGAAUCGUACCCCAAACCGACACAGGUGGUCAGGUAGAGAAUACUCAGGCGCUUGAGAGAACUCGGGUGAAGGAACUAGGCAAAAUGGUGCCGUAACUUCGGGAGAAGGCACGCUGGCAUUAGGUAAAGAGACUUGCUCUCGUAGCCGAAGCCAGUCGCAGAUACCAGCUGGCUGCAACUGUUUAAUAAAAACACAGCACUGUGCAAACACGAAAGUGGACGUAUACGGUGUGACGCCUGCCCGGUGCUGGAAGGUUAAUUGAUGGGGUCAGCCGCAAGGCGAAGCUCUUGAUCGAAGCCCCAGUAAACGGCGGCCGUAACUAUAACGGUCCUAAGGUAGCGAAAUUCCUUGUCGGGUAAGUUCCGACCUGCACGAAUGGCGUAAUGAUGGCCAGGCUGUCUCCACCCGAGACUCAGUGAAAUUGAACUCGCUGUGAAGAUGCAGUGUACCCGCGGCAAGACGGAAAGACCCCGUGAACCUUUACUAUAGCUUGACACUGAACAUUGAGCCUUGAUGUGUAGGAUAGGUGGGAGGCAUCGAAGCGUGGACGCCAGUCUGCGUGGAGCCAACCUUGAAAUACCACCCUUUAAUGUUUGAUGUUCUAACUCGGCCCCAUAAUCUGGGGUGAGGACAGUGUCUGGUGGGUAGUUUGACUGGGGCGGUCUCCUCCCAAAGAGUAACGGAGGAGCACGAAGGUUAGCUAAUCACGGUCGGACAUCGUGAGGUUAGUGCAAAGGCAUAAGCUAGCUUGACUGCGAGAGUGACGGCUCGAGCAGGUACGAAAGUAGGUCUUAGUGAUCCGGUGGUUCUGAAUGGAAGGGCCAUCGCUCAACGGAUAAAAGGUACUCCGGGGAUAACAGGCUGAUACCGCCCAAGAGUUCAUAUCGACGGCGGUGUUUGGCACCUCGAUGUCGGCUCAUCACAUCCUGGGGCUGAAGUAGGUCCCAAGGGUAUGGCUGUUCGCCAUUUAAAGUGGUACGCGAGCUGGGUUUAGAACGUCGUGAGACAGUUCGGUCCCUAUCUGCCGUGGGCGUUGGAAGAUUGAGAGGGGCUGCUCCUAGUACGAGAGGACCGGAGUGGACGAAUCACUGGUGUUCGGGUUGUCAUGCCAAUGGCAUUGCCCGGUAGCUAAAUUCGGAAGAGAUAACCGCUGAAAGCAUCUAAGCGGGAAACUUGCCUCGAGAUGAGUCUUCCCUGGGGCUUUAAGCCCCCUGAAGGAACGUUAAAGACUAUGACGUUGAUAGGCUGGGUGUGUAAGUGCAGCGAUGCAUUGAGCUAACCAGUACUAAUGAUCCGUGAGGCUUAACCUU
Molecule: ribosomal RNA, 2905 nt
Filed under: Yersinia frederiksenii
Lineage: Bacteria; Pseudomonadati; Pseudomonadota; Gammaproteobacteria; Enterobacterales; Yersiniaceae
Description: bacterial LSU rRNA
Rfam family: Bacterial large subunit ribosomal RNA
Source: RNAcentral